This 446-nucleotide ribosomal RNA is filed under the name uncultured bacterium. Its description in RNAcentral is "partial 16S ribosomal RNA". It matches the Rfam family "Bacterial small subunit ribosomal RNA", at positions 29 to 523 of the family's 1533-position model. The record is from RNAcentral.
AACGAACGCUGGCGGCAGGCUUAACACAUGCAAGUCGAACGAGUAGCAAUACUAGUGGCGCACGGGUGAGUAACACGUGGGAAUCUCCCUUUCAGUACGGGAUAACGUCGGGAAACUGACGCUAAUACCGUAUACACCUCCGGGUGAAAGAUUUAUCGCUGAAAGAUGAGCCCGCGUCAGAUUAGCUAGUUGGUGGGGUAACGGCCUACCAAGGCUCCGAUCUGUAGCUGGUCUUAGAGGAUGAUCAGCCACACUGGAACUGAGACACGGUCCAGACUCCUACGGGAGGCAGCAGUGGGGAAUAUUGGACAAUGGGGGCAACCCUGAUCCAGCCAUGCCGCGUGAGUGAUGAAGGCCUUCGGGUUGUAAAGCUCCUUUGUGUGGGAAAAUGAUGAUGGUACCACAAGAAUAAGCCCCGGCUAACUUCGUGCCAGCCGCCGCGGUAA